UACGUAGGGUGCAAGCGUUGUCCGGAAUUAUUGGGCGUAAAGCGCGUGUAGGUGGCCAUGUAGGUCCGCUGUGAAAACUUGAGGCUCAACCUCGAGACGCCGGUGGAAACCAUCAGACUAGAGUCCGGAAGAGGAGAGUGGAAUUCCUGGUGUAGCGGUGAAAUGCGCAGAUAUCAGGAAGAACACCCGUGGCUAAGGCGGCUCUCUAGUACGGUACUGACGCUGAGACGCGAAAGCGUGGGGAGCGAACAGG
RNAcentral lists this ribosomal RNA (253 nucleotides) under uncultured bacterium. RNAcentral's name for it is "partial 16S ribosomal RNA". It matches the Rfam family "Bacterial small subunit ribosomal RNA", at positions 524 to 776 of the family's 1533-position model. The record is from RNAcentral.